GGGCACUGUCUCAACGAGAGACUCGGUGAAAUCAUAGUACCUGUGAAGAUGCAGGUUACCCGCGACAGGACGGAAAGACCCCGUGGAGCUUUACUGUAGCCUGAUAUUGAAAUUCGGCACAGCUUGUACAGGAUAGGUAGGAGCCUUUGAAACGUGAGCGCUAGCUUACGUGGAGGCGCUGGUGGGAUACUACCCUAGCUGUGUUGGCUUUCUAACCCGCACCACUUAUCGUGGUGGGAGACAGUGUCAGGCGGGCAGUUUGACUGGGGCGGUCGCCUCCUAAAAGGUAACGGAGGCGCUCAAAGGUUCCCUCAGAAUGGUUGGAAAUCAUUCAUAGAGUGUAAAGGCAUAAGGGAGCUUGACUGCGAGACCUACAAGUCGAGCAGGGUCGAAAGACGGACUUAGUGAUCCGGUGGUU
RNAcentral lists this ribosomal RNA (418 nucleotides) under Staphylococcus aureus. Its description in RNAcentral is "partial 23S ribosomal RNA". It matches the Rfam family "Bacterial large subunit ribosomal RNA", at positions 2011 to 2428 of the family's 2925-position model. The record is from RNAcentral. Lineage: Bacteria; Bacillati; Bacillota; Bacilli; Caryophanales; Staphylococcaceae.